GACGAACGCUGGCGGCGUGCUUAACACAUGCAAGUCGAACGGAAAGGCCCUGCUUUUGUGGGGUGCUCGAGUGGCGAACGGGUGGGUAACACGUGAGUAACCUGCCCUUGACUUUGGGAUAACUUCAGGAAACUGGGGCUAAUACCGGAUAGGAGCUCCUGCUGCAUGGUGGGGGUUGGAAAGUUUCGGCGGUUGGGGAUGGACUCGCGGCUUAUCAGCUUGUUGGUGGGGUAGUGGCUUACCAAGGCUUUGACGGGUAGCCGGCCUGAGAGGGUGACCGGCCACAUUGGGACUGAGAUACGGCCCAGACUCCUACGGGAGGCAGCAGUGGGGAAUAUUGCACAAUGGGCGGAAGCCUGAUGCAGCAACGCCGCGUGCGGGAUGACGGCCUUCGGGUUGUAAACCGCUUUCGCCUGUGACGCAGCGUGAGUGACGGUAAUGGGUAAAGAAGCACCGGCUAACUACGUG
This 468-nucleotide ribosomal RNA is filed under the name uncultured bacterium. RNAcentral describes it as "partial 16S ribosomal RNA". It matches the Rfam family "Bacterial small subunit ribosomal RNA", at positions 28 to 507 of the family's 1533-position model. The record is from RNAcentral.